Long non-coding RNA from Ictalurus punctatus (channel catfish), 472 nucleotides. The record is from Ensembl. Lineage: Eukaryota; Metazoa; Chordata; Actinopteri; Siluriformes; Ictaluridae.
UAGACAGUGAAAGUGAAAGUCAGUCUCCAUUUUGUGUGGAGGGGAAAAUACACCAUUUCAGGAGUAAAAACACAGUGAGUAUCUACAUCUAAAGCUAUAAUAUAUAAACACACUGAAUGUACACUAGAUGCAGAAGAGUUUUGUGGGUUUGUACUGAAGUUUGAAUGUACACAGGCUGUUUUAUGACUUGAUACAGAGGACUAUUUCCUGUAAAUGAACUCUGCGCUGAUACAGGGUUUGAUUUAACACACCGAUGUUGGAGUGAAGUAAACGUGUGUCCUGCUGUAAUCUGGAGAAGGAGACAUGACCUCCAACAUGAGUGUGUCUGGAGAACAGGACUUAAAGAGAGACGAGAGAAUGAUGGAGGGAAAGAGAUCAGACUCACCAGAACCCAGCUGUGUGUCCAUGAAGAGUGACGAGUCAAUGGAUCUUCCAUUCACUUCAGAGACGGAGCCAGUUCUCCUGAUGUGAG